AGUGAACGCUGGCGGUAGGCCUAACACAUGCAAGUCGAACGGCAGCACAGGAGGGCUUGCUCUCUGGGUGGCGAGUGGCGGACGGGUGAGGAAUACAUCGGAAUCUACUUUUUCGUGGGGGAUAACGUAGGGAAACUUACGCUAAUACCGCAUACGACCUACGGGUGAAAGCAGGGGAUCUUCGGACCUUGCGCGAUUGAAUGAGCCGAUGGCGGAUUAGCUAGUUGGCGGGGUAAAGGCCCACCAAGGCGACGAUCCGUAGCUGGUCUGAGAGGAUGAUCAGCCACACUGGAACUGAGACACGGUCCAGACGCCUACGGGAGGCAGCAGUGGGGAAUAUUGGACAAUGGGCGCAAGCCUGAUCCAGCCAUACCGCGUGGGUGAAGAAGGCCUUCGGGUUGUAAAGCCCUUUUGUUGGGAAAGAAAUCCAGCUGGUUAAUACCCGGUUGGGAUGACGGUACCCAAAGAAUAAGCACCGGCUAACUUCGUGCCAGCAGCCGCCGCCG
This 506-nucleotide ribosomal RNA is filed under the name uncultured bacterium. RNAcentral describes it as "partial 16S ribosomal RNA". It matches the Rfam family "Bacterial small subunit ribosomal RNA", at positions 29 to 523 of the family's 1533-position model. The record is from RNAcentral.